RNAcentral lists this ribosomal RNA (1454 nucleotides) under Caulerpa lentillifera. RNAcentral's name for it is "16S ribosomal RNA". It matches the Rfam family "Bacterial small subunit ribosomal RNA". The record is from RNAcentral. Lineage: Eukaryota; Viridiplantae; Chlorophyta; Ulvophyceae; Bryopsidales; Caulerpaceae.
CAUGCGAGUCUUGCGGCGUCGUCCUUUAAGUAGGGCGACUCGUAUGGCGCACGAGUGAGUAAUGUAUGGGUUACCCAGCUCAGCAAAGACCAACAAAUUUCCCCGAAGUGCUUCAAAGAAUACAAAGUACCGGGGGAAAAGUAACGGUGUUGGUCUUUGGAGAAGGACUCAUAUAGCAUUAGGUUGUCGGUAGGGUAAUGGCUUACCGAGCCCAGGAUGCUUCGCCGUGUUGGGAGAUGGUACGGCCACGGUGGAACUGAGACACGGUCCACAGAGUCAUUUCAGCAGUGGGUAAACUUCGACAAUGAGUGCAAGCUUGAUCGAGCCACUACACGUGAGUGAAGAAGGAUUUCUGUAAAACUCAUAUUAAAAGUCCCGGCAAACUUCGUGCCAGCAGCCGCGGUAAUACGAUGGGGGCGAGCGUUAUCCGACAUAACUGGGCUGGGCGCGUAGGCUUUAAGCCAACGGUCGGCCGAGGCGUUUUUUUAAAGGCCAAGACGUUGGUUUGAUUGAGGAGGGCAAACACUACGGCCGUUGAAUGGGGUGUGAAGAGGUAAAAUUCACUGAUAUACUCCGGACGAACAAACGCGAAGGCGGCGGCCACAGCCCCUACCUGACGCUGAGGCGCGGAAGCGCGGGCAGCCAAUGGGAUUAGAUACCCCAGUAGUCCACGCCGUCAAAAACCCAAACCCGCAUUCAUGUUUUUUUUCCAGUUUGCGGAAAGGGCGCCUGGGAACUACGGUCGCAAGACUCAAACCUAAAGGAAUUGGCGGUAGCUCAAACAAGCGGCGGAACAUGCUGUUUAAUUCGACACUACGCGAGACACCUCACCAGUGCUUGUAAACCCCUCCGGGGACAUCCUCAGGUGCUGCAUGGCUGUCGUCAGUUCGUGGCCUUUUCCAAUCCAAGCUGUCUGGUUCAUUCCACCAACGAACGAAACCCCAAAAAAAAUAUACCUGCGAAAAGCCCUUGGGAUCACUUCAAGUCAUCAUGGCCCCAAUGCACUGGGCGACAGGUGUGUUACGUUAGCGAUACUAGAGUCACCAAAAAAUCGCUGGUUCGGAUAGUGGUCUGCAACUCGACCUCUUGAAGAAGGAGUCGCUAGUAAUCGGGGAACAUGUCGCCCCGGUGAAUCGGUCACUGAGCUGUGCACACACCGCCCAUCACGUUCGAAAAGAUACAGUUGGUUAAGACCCCCGCCCCAGGAAGGGCUAGCGCUACGCGCUCCGAGGAAAGCGCCUUCGGCGCUUCCAAGCCAUGGAAGCGCCGCAGUUAUGGCCCUUCGCUUGCUUUGGGGGUUCAACCCAAUUGUUUCAAUUUGAAUGAAGUUGUAACACGGUAGCUGUAGGGGAACCUGCAGCUGGACUGUUUUGUUCUUAAUUUAUGGAUUAAAACUUACAAUAAUUCUGUGAUAAGAUAUAAUGAAGGCAAACACUCUAGUUAUCCGUGCCGUU